This 253-nucleotide ribosomal RNA is filed under the name uncultured bacterium. RNAcentral's name for it is "partial 16S ribosomal RNA". It matches the Rfam family "Bacterial small subunit ribosomal RNA", at positions 524 to 776 of the family's 1533-position model. The record is from RNAcentral.
UACGAAGGGUGCAAGCGUUACUCGGAAUUACUGGGCGUAAAGCGUGCGUAGGCGGUUCGUUAAGUCCGUUGUGAAAGCCCUGGGCUCAACCUGGGAAUGGCAGUGGAUACUGGCGAGCUAGAGUGUGAUAGAGGAAGGUGGAAUUCCCGGUGUAGCAGUGAAAUGCGUAGAGAUCGGGAGGAACACCAGUGGCGAAGGCGGCCUUCUGGACCAAUACUGACGCUCAUGCACGAAAGCGUGGGGAGCAAACAGG